This 431-nucleotide ribosomal RNA is filed under the name uncultured bacterium. RNAcentral's name for it is "bacterial SSU rRNA". It matches the Rfam family "Bacterial small subunit ribosomal RNA", at positions 30 to 460 of the family's 1533-position model. The record is from RNAcentral.
AUUGAACGCUGGCGGCAUGCCUUACACAUGCAAGUCGAACGGCAGCACGGGAGCAAUCCUGGUGGCGAGUGGCGAACGGGUGAGUAAUAUAUCGGAACGUGCCCAGUCGUGGGGAUAACGUAGCGAAAGCUACGCUAAUACCGCAUACGAUCUAUGGAUGAGAGCGGGGGAUCGCAAGACCUCGCGCGAUUGGAGCGGCCGAUAUCAGAUUAGGUAGUUGGUGAGGUAAAGGCUCACCAAGCCGACGAUCUGUAGCUGGUCUGAGAGGACGACCAGCCACACUGGGACUGAGACACGGCCCAGACUCCUACGGGAGGCAGCAGUGGGGGAAUAUUGGACAAUGGGCGCAAGCCUGAUCCAGCAAUGCCGCGUGCAGGGAUGAAGGCCUUCGGUUGGUAACUAGCUUUGUUACGGUAACGGAAACGGUAGAG